GCCGGGCGUGGUGGCUCACACCUGUAAUCCCAGCAUUUUGGGAGGCUGAGGUGGGUGGAUCACCUGAGGUCAGGAGUUCGAGACCAGCCUGACCAACAUGGAGAAACCCCGUCUCUA
This is a non-coding RNA of Homo sapiens (human), 117 nucleotides long. It matches the Rfam family "Metazoan signal recognition particle RNA". Rfam says of the family: The signal recognition particle (SRP) is a universally conserved ribonucleoprotein. It is involved in the co-translational targeting of proteins to membranes. The record is from Rfam. Lineage: Eukaryota; Metazoa; Chordata; Mammalia; Primates; Hominidae.